RNAcentral lists this ribosomal RNA (430 nucleotides) under uncultured bacterium. Its description in RNAcentral is "bacterial SSU rRNA". It matches the Rfam family "Bacterial small subunit ribosomal RNA", at positions 354 to 796 of the family's 1533-position model. The record is from RNAcentral.
GUGGGGAAUAUUGCACAAUGGGCGAAAGCCUGAUGCAGCGACGCCGCGUGAGGGAUGACGGCCUUCGGGUUGUAAACCUCUUUCAGCAGGGAAGAAGCGCAAGUGACGGUACCUGCAGAAGAAGCACCGGCUAACUACGUGCCAGCAGCCGCGGUAAUACGUAGGGUGCGAGCGUUGUCCGGAAUUAUUGGGCGUAAAGAGCUUGUAGGCGGUUUGUCGCGUCUGCAGUGAAAAUCCGGGGCUCAACCCCGGACUUGCUGUGGGUACGGGCAGACUAGAGUGUGGUAGGGGAGACCGGAAUUCCUGGUGUAGCGGUGGAAUGCGCAGAUAUCAGGAGGAACACCGAUGGCGAAGGCAGGUCUCUGGGCCAUAACUGACGCUGAGAAGCGAAAGCAUGGGGAGCGAACAGGAUUAGAAACCCCAGUAGUCC